UUAAUUUUAAAAGCAUGCUUUGAUGUAUUCAAUGGGGGAAGAAUUUAUCGAAGACUAAUACAGAUUCGAUAGAUCCGCCUAUCGCGAUAUGAGCUCAAUGAGGAGCUAGUGGAAGCGAGAAGGCAGCAUUAUUACAGAACAAGACAAUGGACCCGCAUGAAAAGAUAUAUUACAUUCACCGCACAACUGAAGAAGCAGCUACCUCAUGGUUUUGAUGUUCCCCUCAUGACACUGAAGGCAGACUGGCCUGAAUGCCAGUGAUCCUCCAUUACAUCUCCACCUGUACGAGUCAAGCAACCAGCUGCAAGAUGGGUGUGCUGUUGGAUGAAGUCUAGGAUUGAUGUGGAUCACCAGUGUUGACCAUAGCUCUUUGCCAUAGACAUUUGUUAAAAUAAAAUCGCCAGACUUUGCUUCAACACCACCAUACAUGAAUGCAAAA
This is a long non-coding RNA of Acipenser ruthenus (sterlet), 439 nucleotides long. RefSeq lists it as uncharacterized. NCBI's taxonomy places the organism in Eukaryota, Metazoa, Chordata, Actinopteri, Acipenseriformes, Acipenseridae. The transcript has 2 exons. The record is from RefSeq and is a predicted model, not a curated record.